GAUGAACGCUGGCGGCGUGCCUAAUACAUGCAAGUCGAGCGAACAGACGAGGAGCUUGCUCCUCUGACGUUAGCGGCGGACGGGUGAGUAACACGUGGAUAACCUACCUAUAAGACUGGGAUAACUUCGGGAAACCGGAGCUAAUACCGGAUAACAUGUUGAACCGCAUGGUUCAACAGUGAAAGACGGUUUUGCUGUCACUUAUAGAUGGAUCCGCGCCGCAUUAGCUAGUUGGUAAGGUAACGGCUUACCAAGGCAACGAUGCGUAGCCGACCUGAGAGGGAGGGGGGGCACACGUGGACUGAGACACGGACCAGACCCCUACGGGAGGCAGCAGUAGGGAAUCUUCCGAAAAGGGCGAAAGCUUGACAGACCAAGGCAGCGUGGAAGAAGAAGGUCUUCGGAUCUUAAACCCCUGUUAUUAGGGAAGAACAAAUGUGUAAGUAACUAUGCACGUCUUGACGGUACCUAAUCAGAAAGCCACGGCUAACUACGUG
This 497-nucleotide ribosomal RNA is filed under the name uncultured bacterium. RNAcentral describes it as "partial 16S ribosomal RNA". It matches the Rfam family "Bacterial small subunit ribosomal RNA", at positions 28 to 507 of the family's 1533-position model. The record is from RNAcentral.